Molecule: non-coding RNA, 479 nt
Organism: Coffea arabica (coffee)
Lineage: Eukaryota; Viridiplantae; Streptophyta; Magnoliopsida; Gentianales; Rubiaceae
Source: RefSeq, a predicted model, not a curated record
UUUACAAGAACUCUUCCGCAGUGUUUAAAUCACCUAAAAUCUCAGACUUGAUUUCCUCUGGCAGAGGUGCAGACGGGCCUGCUCUAGAGUAAAAGUUUGCCAAAGCUCUUAUUGCUUUCUCAAGCAUGACAUACGAUUCCUGCAAGUAUCAAGGAUAUGAUAUCAGCAGAGGCUGCAGAGUCGGUAAACAAGGUAUAUUCAUGAUACGUAUACGAUUGAGCUCAGAACGAAUACUAAGGCCAGGAUACUCAAAGAAGAACUGCAAUUCUGCAUUUCAAAAGUUCUAAACUUUGUUUCGAGAUUCUCUCUUUAGGACAUCGAUUUUACGAUGACAAAUCUAGCUGCUAAAUCAACCUGGUGUUGCACAUUCUGCAAUUCUUUUCCUCGUAAUCAAUUGGCAAAAGGAAUGUACCUCAUUUAUGACUGUCUUUUGCCCUUUCCAAUUAUUUAUAUAGUCUCGAAUAGACUCCUUUGCUGCA